Carassius auratus (goldfish) is the source of this 2914-nucleotide long non-coding RNA. Lineage: Eukaryota; Metazoa; Chordata; Actinopteri; Cypriniformes; Cyprinidae. The record is from Ensembl.
AUGGAGCUGAAGACGGUAACGUUAACCCAGGCGAACGGUUUCUGCAUCAUACCCGUAUUCCCUUUCGAAAGCCAGCAACAGGACCCCGACCAUGCCUCCACCCAUCUGUCCUCCUCAAACCUGAACCCAGAUCAGCAGAGUGUGACCCCGAUGACCCACACAUCAGGAAGCUCAGCAGGUCAUCCCUCUUAUUCACUGUAUUGGGCCCUUCUCAACAAAGCUACCAGGACAAGUCCAGUGUCUGACAAAACUUCUCGGUACGGCCUGGAUCCUCAGCUUCUACGCAGUGUGGUCCAUGUGAUUAAAGAGGACAGGAUCCAGUAGGAGGGGAAAUCUUCAGUUCCCCGUCUCUGCUCAACACAAUGCACCCUGGAGGACAGAGGUACUAUCACUGCUGCCCAAGGUAGCCAUAUUACCUUUUGACUUCAUAGAUUCACAUGAAAAAUAAAUGUGAUACACCUGGCUUUUGUAUCACAGCAGCUUUUGUUUGUACUUUGUUGUGAAUUAUUCUGACUUUAACUGACUUUCAGACAAUAAUGGAGCUAGGCACACAAAGGAAAUGAAAUAUUGACAGCUGCUGUUCUUAUAAUCAGACAUCAUGAUAAUCAGCUGUUGUUUUCCAGUCUUAUAAAUUCAGCACCACAUUAAUGGCGGAGUCAUGCUGACACUAGGACAAACAUACAUUUCCAUUACAGCUUCACUUAUCUUUUUGUUUUAAUUAUGCUUUUAAUGCUUUUAAUAAUAAUUUAGUAAUAAUUAUUUAGUAAUCCACGUCCUACACCUAUGUCACUAUUAUUUGUCUUAUUUGCCAGGAUGUUGAAUUGUGUGGGUGUGAAUCAUGUUGAGAAAUUUUGAGAAAUCUCAAUCACCUUCACAUACUCUUCAGUGCUUUACUAAUUAUUUUAAAGAUGAAAUACUAUUAUACACGUGUUGUUCGAAUGUUUUCCACAGCGUGAUGUGCCAGUUUGAGGCUGAAGAUUGUGUUAAGGGCUUUGCACACUGCGGGGCCUUCAUGAUCCCUGCUAUGAGCUAGCAGGACUGCAGGCAAAGAUUCUACUGUCCUUUCUGCUACAAACUCACAGAAUGUAAGUCUUGUUUGGCCUGCAGUCUUUUUUCACAUUUCGGUUAAAGAUGUCCACAUAUGUUCUCCCAUUUUUGGUCAAACUUUCUUUUUCUCAUAGUGCCAUGGCAGCAGAAAAGAAACCUGAGAUCAGUCUUGGCCCAUAUGAUACUGCAAAAACAGGAAUGGCGUGAAUUUGUUUUGAACUUUAAUUUUUCUCUUGUUUUAUACUAUGUAUUGUAAUACAAACAACUAAUUCAAAGCAUGAUCAUGUUUUGUUUUUAUUUUAAAAUAUACACUACAGUAUAUAUUUAUCUGUCCAAAAGAAGUUAAAUAAAAUGCAUCUAUCUAUAAUAAAAAGUGCCUCACAUGGUUCCGUAGAGUGAACAAAGGCUUCCUGAAUCGAUACGUUUUUGUAAGAAAAAUAACCAUAUUUAAAACGUAAUAAUCAGUUUAAUCUAGCUUUUGUUCACUGUUGUACACGGAAGCAGCUCCAGGCGAAGACAUAUGAGGUUGGAAAGUGACGAACACAGAAUCGCAGGGUGAAGAAUAAAAAAACAAAACAACGGUCAUGAAUUAGUAUGAAUUAUAUGAAGUACAAAACAAGGAUUUGUAAAGAAGACUGUCAGAGGAUUUCGAUAUAAGCCAAGAGGAGACUGGUUUUCCUUUGCUAAAGUAAGGAAACUUUAGCCCCUUUCACACUGCACGUGGGUCCCGGAAAAUUGCCGGGUCGCCUUCUAUGUGAAUGCAAACAGGUCCCGGGUUUGAUCCCAGCUUGGGGACCUAGUAGCAUUGCCGGGUUCAAUCCUGGAACGAGUUCUGUGUGAACAAAAGGCAGAAAUAAUGCCAUAAAGGGUGUGUCGUAAUGAUGACGCAUGCUAUCGUGCGACUCUUUUAAUAGGUGUUUUGAAGGCAGAUCAACAUUCGCGAUGAAAAAAAGAUGUGCAAACUGUAAUGAAGCAGAGAUCAGUUAGCUCAUCACUAUCCACGCUUAAGCUGAGAUCGUUUGCCAGCUUAAGUGAAAGUUAACGUGAACUAGCGUUUUCGACUCGUAGUUUAGAAGAUCAUAGUGAAGAAUUAUCGUUAUAGCAAGAGGCAAAAGGUUACCAAUAGUCCUUUCUUCUUGGGCAGAGUUCUACAGGAAAUUUCACUUUUCAACCCUGAAUCGGAAGAUAGAUCCAGCUCACAAGAGCUUCCUGUUUCUGCAGGACUGAAGAUUCUUCAGGCAAGAGCCUUAAUAUGAGUCUUAAACAUGCAUGUGCUCUUGCUGAAAAAUUCUACAUCUGUGCUGCAUGCCUCACCUUGUUUCUGAAAGCACAAAUCAGAAAAACUCCUCUGGUUUCUUCAGCUCUAGCAAAGUGAAGGUGAUUUAAAGAGCAUGUAUUAUUUUCCACAAUAUUAGCCAUAAAGGUAGUUUUGAGGUUUAUAUAAAAGUUUCCUCUUGGUUUCAUGUUAGUCCAUCUUCCAAGGACCAGAUUCCUCGAUCUCAUUGGCUAAAGAGUGCUGCAGUGUGCACAUCUUUGUGUUCUCCCAUCAGGAAGUAGGCGGGGCUUUGCCAGGGCACAUCCCCUUUCUCACAGGGGGUGGUGUCAUCUGCUAUAACAGACUACAGGUAAUAAAUGCCAUCUGCACUCAGUCAACAUCAGUAACACCCUCAUGUCCUAUUACAUCAGAUGUAGAAAACCUUAGAGCCCAGUUUCUCUAAAACUGCUUUACAGAUUUGAAAUUUCAAAACAACCCUAUGGCUGCCUCGAGAAUUAGCCUGGAAUGUCAUAAUGGUUGGUACUUGUUAAAAGUCUCUGCUGCUAAUACAAGGUUUUUCUAGACAUCUUAUUAACUGAAAGUGUUACAAAG